UAACGGUCCUAAGGUAGCGAAAUUCCUUGUCGGGUAAGUUCCGACCCGCACGAAAGGCGCAACGAUCUGGGCACUGUCUCAACGAGAGACUCGGUGAAAUUAUAGUACCUGUGAAGAUGCAGGUUACCCGCGACAGGACGGAAAGACCCCGUGGAGCUUUACUGCAACCUGAUAUGGAAUGUUUGUACCGCUUGUACAGGAUAGGUAGGAGCCGAAGAGACGUGUGCGCUAGCAUACGAGGAGGCAAUGGUGGGAUACUACCCUGGCUGUAUGACCAUUCUAACCCGCCACGCUUAGCGCGUGGGGAGACAGUGUCAGGUGGGCAGUUUGACUGGGGCGGUCGCCUCCUAAAGAGUAACGGAGGCGCCCAAAGGUUCCCUCAGAAUGGAUGGAAAUCAUUCGCAGAGUGUAAAGGCACAAGGGAGCUUGACUGCGAGACUGACAAGUCGAGCAGGGACGAAAGUCGGGCUUAGUGAUCCGGUGGUUCCGCAUGGAAGGGCCAUCGCUCAACGGAUAAAAGCUACCCCGGGGAUAACAGGCUUAUCUCCCCCAAGAGUCCACAUCGACGGGGAGGUUUGGCACCUCGAUGUCGGCUCGUCGCAUCCUGGGGCUGUAGUCGGUCCCAAGGGUUGGGCUGUUCGCCCAUUAAAGCGGCACGCGAGCUGGGUUCAGAACGUCGUGAGACAGUUCGGUCCCUAUCCGUCGCGGGCGCAGGAAAUUUGAGAGGAGCUGUCCUUAGUACGAGAGGACCGGGAUGGACACACCGCUGGUGUACCAGUUGUUCCGCCAGGAGCAUCGCUGGGUAGCUAUGUGUGGCAGGGAUAAACGCUGAAAGCAUCUAAGCGUGAAGCCCCCCUCAAGAUGAGAUUUCCCAUUUCUUCGGAAAGUAAGAUCCCUGAAAGAUGAUCAGGUAGAUAGGUUUGGAGUGGAAGUGUAGCGAUACAUGGAGCGGACAAAUACUAAUCGAUCGAGGACUUAACCAAAAA
This 986-nucleotide ribosomal RNA is filed under the name Listeria monocytogenes. Its description in RNAcentral is "partial 23S ribosomal RNA". It matches the Rfam family "Bacterial large subunit ribosomal RNA", at positions 1943 to 2925 of the family's 2925-position model. Lineage: Bacteria; Bacillati; Bacillota; Bacilli; Caryophanales; Listeriaceae. The record is from RNAcentral.